UUACUACUUGGAUAACCGUAGUAAUUCUAGAGCUAAUACAUGCGUCAAUACCCUUCUGGGGUAGUAUUUAUUAGAUUGAAACCAACCCCUUCGGGGUGAUGUGGUGAUUCAUAAUAAGCUUGCGGAUCGCAUGGCGUAUGCCGGCGAUGGAUCAUUCAAGUUUCUGCCCUAUCAGCUUUGGAUGGUAGGGUAUUGGCCUACCAUGGCUUUAACGGGUAACGGGAAAUUAGGGUUUGAUUCCGGAGAGGGAGCCUGAGAGACGG
This 263-nucleotide ribosomal RNA is filed under the name uncultured Symbiodinium. RNAcentral describes it as "partial Eukaryotic small subunit ribosomal RNA". It matches the Rfam family "Eukaryotic small subunit ribosomal RNA", at positions 132 to 406 of the family's 1831-position model. Lineage: Eukaryota; Dinophyceae; Suessiales; Symbiodiniaceae. The record is from RNAcentral.